GUGAAUCAUCGAAUUUUUGAACGCAAAUUGCGCUUCCUGGCAUCCCGGGAAGUAUGCCUGUUUGAGGGUCAGUAUUAACAAAAUAUCGGUUUGGUUGCAAAUUGUGACGUUUCGGGCGUUUGGGCUAUCUUAACUUUUUUGGUUAUGGGGCGUAAAAUUGACCUUUUUUGGGCAUUUUUAGACGUAUAUAAUUUUUUUUUUUUUCUUCUAUUCUUAAUGCCAA
This 223-nucleotide unclassified non-coding RNA is filed under the name Glomeraceae sp. Its description in RNAcentral is "partial contains 5.8S ribosomal RNA and internal transcribed spacer 2". The stretch from base 1 to 71 matches the Rfam family "5.8S ribosomal RNA", at positions 84 to 154 of the family's 154-position model. Lineage: Eukaryota; Fungi; Glomeromycota; Glomeromycetes; Glomerales; Glomeraceae. The record is from RNAcentral.